Molecule: long non-coding RNA, 927 nt
Filed under: Marmota monax (woodchuck)
Lineage: Eukaryota; Metazoa; Chordata; Mammalia; Rodentia; Sciuridae
Source: RNAcentral
UACUGUGCAUGGUUUCAGGAAUGAGCAUUUGCAUUUGGUAAUGGAUAGAAAAGUGACUAAAUGGGGACUGGUAUACAAAUCUCCUCAUCUCCAAAGCCUGAAGGCAGUCUAGGACAAGGUGAGGGACACCUUCUGAGAAGGGUCUGGGAUAUGAUCCAUGUAUUUCCCAUUUCUACAUUAGUUCCAUUUAUUCAUUUCACUGACCCCUGGAAGCUCCCAAGACCUGGUUAGAACCCCAAUUACAACUUGUUCCAUGGCAAAAGGAGGUUUGAAGCUGGUCCAGUGUGUGUGUGUGGUGUGUUCGUGUGUGUGUAUAUGUGUGUGUGUGUGUGUGUGUGUCUCCACUGAGUCUCACCCACAUGCCCCCCAGGACAAUAUUCACUAUUCAAAACUGCUGCUGCUGCCUGUGCCUGCUGCCAAUAUACUUUGAGGCAUGGGAAGGGCAUGGUUUUCUCAGAGCAGAUGAGGGUCCCCAGCCCUGAAGAGGAAUCCUGGCUCUGCUAUUUAUUGGCUGUAUGAUCCAGAGUACUAAGAACCACUUCGCUUCUCUGUGCCCCAGUGUGUGGUUUGAAGACAGUGCCCCCUUCAGAAUGGAGUGGGUAGAACAGUGUGUGCUCAGAGAGGUGCUGGGCAUAGUGGGAGCUCAACAUCUGUGAGACCCUUUCAACAUCCCCACACAUCACUGACCCAGACUGGGUGCCCAAGUGGCUGAAAGGCAGGCACUCAGCUUGUGACAAGACUGGGGGCAGCUGACAGGCGCUAGCCUAGCUGCCAGCUUAAGAGAGUCUAACCUUGCAGAAUACAACAGACACUAGUAUGGCAAUAUGUAAAUCAAUGGAUGUGUAACUGAUGUGAUUCUGCAAUCUGUAUACGGGGUAAAAAUGGGAGUUCAUAACCCACUUGAAUCAAAGUGUGAAAUAUGAUAUA